RNAcentral lists this long non-coding RNA (3887 nucleotides) under Musa acuminata (dwarf banana). RNAcentral describes it as "long non-coding RNA (MACU_LNC000139)". Lineage: Eukaryota; Viridiplantae; Streptophyta; Magnoliopsida; Zingiberales; Musaceae. The record is from RNAcentral.
AAGGCUGGAUCGGUGUCGCCGGAGAAUCAACCAUCUUUACAAUGUGAUCUUGGAUGGCCUUCAGUAUGUAUUAUCAGCAGAGUGGCACAAACCGGAUGGGAAGAUGUGACUGAUUCUUGAACUCUCUCUACUUAUAGACCCAAUUUCAUACAGCAGAUGGAGGCAAAUAGAAUCUCCCCAGCUCAGAUCAACAUGAUAUGUGAAGCUUGGCAUUUGGAUCUGCUAUCCUCUUGUCCAGACAGGUCUGACAUAUUUCUCUUUUUUUUAACUGUUUCCAGCUCAACAUGCAUGUGUUUGCUUGUGAUUAACUGUGCUUGGUGUUUGAAUCUGUAGCUCAUUCCAAACUACAUUAGUUUUGUAAUGAUAAACUUUGGGUAUUGGACUACCCUGAGAUGCGUGAGUCAUCUGUCUGCUUGUUUGCUUACACCUUGAAGAUAAGGUCAGUACUAAAUCCAUUAUUAAAUAUUCUAUACUGGUCACUUGGCACAUUGACAAAUAAUGCAAUAACCAGCAACCAGACAGGAAAUAUAAAAAAGAGUGGAAAAAACAAUAGAUAGCAGCAAAUACCACAUGUAGUUUGCAAAGUACGUCAUUAGCAAUCUUAUAAUUGUUAGGCUCAAAUAAUUUAGCAAUUUUAUAAUUAUUAUGAGUGUUAUAUGCUGGCCUGUCUCUCCAACAUAGUCAGAUAACACGUACACUGAAGAGUAAUAAUGACGAUAAGAGUUGGCUAAUCAAACCUGUACAUGUGUGUCAGUGCUUUUCAUGAUGGAUCUUGUAAUGAUAUAUCUAAGCCAGUCGGUUGCUGCUUUUAUGAAUCAUACAUCUCGGGAUGUCAGACAGGCUUUUGAGUGUGCUUUUAUUUAAAAUGUAUGAAAUGUCGUAAGCCUGCCUGUGAUCUAACAUGAGUUCACCUGAUCAUGCACCCUUUUGUGGGUAAUCUAGAAAAAAAAGGUUUCUGUCAAUUUUUUUCUUCCUGUUUUUGAGUCGUGAACCUUCUCUUGCAUCAGUCUUGAAAAUUGUGUAUUCAUAAUUAUUAUCAGCCGUUGGUUCUGGUCAUUCUCUGCCUUCUUGUCAGAAUGAAUGUAAGCAUGCACCUUCUUGCUUUGAGCAGCUAUUUCACCUCAUCUUCUAAUGGUCAUUUUGGGGUCUCUUAUCUGCUCCUUUAUCAUGCUCUCUGUCAUGGUGCCAAGCAAGUCCAACAGCCUGACAGACAUCCAACUCCACUUCCACUGAUUUCUUUUGUUGUGGCUUCAAGAAGAUCUGAUUGCUGCUAUGCUAGCAAAAGAAGUUCCUUGCUGUACAAUGAGAUCUCCAAAAGGCUUCGGCAAGUUCCAUCAGCUGUGGACUAGAGCAAACAGGAUGGCUAUAUUUGAAUGACCCUUGAUUUCUCCCUGCUUUUAGACCUUGUAUCCACUUCUCUAAACAGGUCUGACUUAUUUCUCCUUUUUAAAGUUAUUCCAUCUCCACAUGCAUGUGGUGGCUUGUGAUGGAACACCUCAUAAUCUUUAUUAUAUACAUGUUUUUCAUUUGAGUUUUAACACUUUAAACACAUUGGAAUCUUAAGUCUAUGGUUUUGCUUUCUAGCCAUGAUGUGGAUUGUAAUAAUGUAAGAUGCACUGUUGUCAUUUGUCUGCUUGUUAGGUCACAUUUUAAAGGUCGAGAAUAAAUCCAUGAACAAUCCUGUAUACUAAGUACAAGACACUGGCAAUCAUGUAUACUAACUACAGUUGCUAAUGAUGCACGUUGCAGAAAAGCUGAUCUGAUUAUUAUAACAGUAGGAUAUUGUGAAUAGAGACUAUUUUGGAUUAGUGUUCUAAACAAGCAUUUCAAUCCUGUUUCAUUAACCUCAAUGCUGUUCUGUAAUGUCUGCAACUGAUAUUGUGCCUUAUGUAUCCUCCCAUCAUUACCUUCAAUGUUCUUCUGCUUUCGCUCACAAGCUUUUUCUUUUUAUCUUUUUGCAAUGCCAAUAAGAGACCAUCAGGUAGCUAUGCAUUUUGUCCUUGGCAUGUGGACUAGAAGAUAAAGAUGGAUAGAAGAAGAAUAUUGAUGUUCACUUUUGCAUCACUUGAAGUCCUGAUCACCAAUGUCCAUUGAUCAUUGCCCAUGUCAUGUGUCAACAUAAGAUGUGUCAUCCAUCUACUUCAAUAUUUUUUAGCAAUGUGAGCAUGCAUCUUGCUCUAGGCAACUGUUGCCCCUGGUCUUCUAAGGGCUAUUUGAAGAUCUCUGGUCUUCUCCUUUAUUGUCACCAUGCAAUUUAUCAUGGAGCCGAGCAAGUCCUACAGCUUGACAGACCCAUCCAAGUCCACUUACACCCAUUUAUUUUGUUCUAUGUUGGAGUAUUUACUGCUAUGCAAGCCAAGAAGCUCCUCGAUGCACUUGUACAAACCUUCAGACUUGAUCUUCUGCAGCUCUUCCUCUACUUUUAGCAUGAGAGGGUGAUCUAUAGAUGGCUUGCUGAUGGUACAAACAUGGUAACACUGAUUGGUGUUGUAGGAGGACCAGCUAUACAUAUCAGUAUGUUCUUGGAAGGCCUUUGGAAUAAAUUAUUAAUUGAAGACUACGGAAAAGAAGGAUGUGAAGAUGUGAAAGAGCUUGGAACUUCGCCAACUUAAAGACCCAGUUUCAUGAAGCAGAUGUGAGGCUAGUGGAAUUUAACUAGCCAAUAUGGUACAUGAAGCUUGCAAUUUGGAUCUUGUAGCCUCUUCUUCGAACAGGUUAUGUUCAUUUCUCCCUUUUUAAGUACUACUUAGUUCCACAUGCACGUGUCAGGCUUGUGAUGAUACACCUCACCACCUAUAUUUUAAACAUGAUUGUAGUCUAGAUCUUAGACACCUUCUUCAAACAGGUUAGAUUCCAUUGUUUGUGAGUUAGUGUUGUAGUUUUGAAAUUGAUUAUUGUACUAAUCUAAGUUGCAUGAGUUUGAUGUCUGCUUUCUAGGCUACACCUUCAUGCCAAGCAUGGUUUACCUUACCGGUCCGUACCGAUGUACCGAUCGGUCAUCGGUAUGGUAUUUACCAAACUGUACCAACACACGAUAUGGUGGAGCGUACCGAUAAACCGGUAUGUACCGUCUAUACCAAUCCUUUGUUGGACCAGAACAUACUGCCCAUACUGGGCGGUACUCUGCAGUAUGGUGAAUCUUGAUGCCAAGGUCAAGAUUAAAUGGAAAAUAAUCAUGUAUACUAAUUACAAGACACACUUGCAAAGGGCAAUAGUCCACAACCAGAAAGCAAGGGCACUUGAUCAAGUAUCCUAGUGACUACAAACUAGAAAAUAAGGCAAUAACCAACAACCAGAAAUUAGUAAAAGAAUCCAUGUAUGUGUCUUUUAAGUACAUGUGUGGCAAUCAUAAAAUUUAAGCAAUGGGAUGUUUGGACUGUUUUUUAUCAGAGUUUUUGAAGUUAUAAUUUCAGUCAUAGAGAAGUAAAUGCGAUGCCUUGAGGAUUUCCAGUGUAAGCACUGACUUGAAUAAGAAAUCUGAGUGAAUUCUUGAGACAACAAGAAGAUUGUAUUGGAUUUUAAUAGUAUACAGAUUACUGUACAAAACUGUUAACACUGAUCAGCAGAUCUCCUAAAAUCUGGAUGCUGAUCAUAGCAUACAAGGUUUCAUGAGCUACUUAUGAGCUUAGGAUGUUAAGAAGAUGGACUCUGCUCUGAAUUAGCUGCUUGAACAAACUUUCUAUUCCACUCUCAAGAUCUUUAGUGUUGUCCUCUAGCAUUUGCAAUUGAUCGUGGAAUUUUACUACCCUGCCGUCACCAACAUCUUUGCAGGAUAUGUACUCGAGCGAAGCAUGCAGUGAGAACAAAUCUGAUCUUUCAAUUCCAUUUCCAUCCUCAUGCUCCCUCUCGCAUGCCACUUGCUUCUUGCUUAAUGCCUUGGAGACAAA